AGUGAACGCUGGCGGUAGGCCUAACACAUGCAAGUCGAACGGCAGCACAGGAGAGCUUGCUCUCUGGGUGGCGAGUGGCGGACGGGUGAGGAAUACAUCGGAAUCUACUUUUUCGUGGGGGAUAACGUAGGGAAACUUACGCUAAUACCGCAUACGACCUACGGGUGAAAGCAGGGGACCUUCGGGCCUUGCGCGAUUGAAUGAGCCGAUGUCGGAUUAGCUAGUUGGCGGGGUAAAGGCCCACCAAGGCGACGAUCCGUAGCUGGUCUGAGAGGAUGAACAGCCACACUGGAACGGAGACGCGGUCCAGACUCCUACGGGAGGCAGCAGUGGGGAAUAUUGGACAAUGGGCGCAAGCCUGAUCCAGCCAUACCGCGUGGGUGAAGAAGGCCUUCGGGUUGUAAAGCCUUUUUGUUGGGAAAGAAACCCAGCUGGCUAAUACCCGGUUGGGAUGACGGUACCCAAAGAAUAAGCACCGGCUAACUUCGUGCCAGCCGCCGCCGUAA
RNAcentral lists this ribosomal RNA (506 nucleotides) under uncultured bacterium. Its description in RNAcentral is "partial 16S ribosomal RNA". It matches the Rfam family "Bacterial small subunit ribosomal RNA", at positions 29 to 523 of the family's 1533-position model. The record is from RNAcentral.